Molecule: non-coding RNA, 30 nt
Filed under: Mus musculus (house mouse)
Lineage: Eukaryota; Metazoa; Chordata; Mammalia; Rodentia; Muridae
Source: RNAcentral
UCCUUAAGAUGUUUGUAAAGAUGCUACCAC